RNAcentral lists this ribosomal RNA (494 nucleotides) under uncultured bacterium. RNAcentral's name for it is "partial 16S ribosomal RNA". It matches the Rfam family "Bacterial small subunit ribosomal RNA", at positions 30 to 507 of the family's 1533-position model. The record is from RNAcentral.
AUUGAACGCUGGCGGCAUGCUUUACACAUGCAAGUCGAACGGCAGCGGGGAGGAGCUUGCUUCUCUGCCGGCGAGUGGCGAACGGGUGAGUAAUACAUCGGAACGUGUCGAGAAGAGGGGGAUAACCACCCGAAAGGGUGGCUAAUACCGCAUAAAUUCUGAGGAAGAAAGCUGGGGACCUAGGAAUAGGCCUAGCGCUUUUUGAGCGGCCGAUGUCGGAUUAGCUAGUUGGUGAGGUAAAGGCUCACCAAGGCGAAGAUCUGUAGCGGGUCUGAGAGGAUGAUCCGCCACACUGGGACUGAGACACGGCCCAGACUCCUACGGGAGGCAGCAGUGGGGAAGUUUGGACAAUGGGGGCAACCCUGAUCCAGCCAUGCCGCGUGUAUGAAGAAGGCCUUAGGGUUGUAAAGUACUUUUGUUAGGGAAGAAAAGUCAGCUGUGAAUAAUGGCUGAUACUGACGGUACCUAAAGAAUAAGCACCGGCUAACUACGUG